AGUGAACGCUGGCGGUAGGCCUAACACAUGCAAGUCGAACGGCAGCACAGUAAGAGCUUGCUCUUACGGGUGGCGAGUGGCGGACGGGUGAGGAAUACAUCGGAAUCUACUUUUUCGUGGGGGAUAACGUAGGGAAACUUACGCUAAUACCGCAUACGACCUACGGGUGAAAGCAGGGGAUCUUCGGACCUUGCGCGAUUGAAUGAGCCGAUGUCGGAUUAGCUAGUUGGCGGGGUAAAGGCCCACCAAGGCGACGAUCCGUAGCUGGUCUGAGAGGAUGUUCAGCCACACUGGAACUGAGACACGGUCCAGACUCCUACGGGAGGCAGCAGUGGGGAAUAUUGGACAAUGGGCGCAAGCCUGAUCCAGCCAUACCGCGUGGGUGAAGAAGGCCUUCGGGUUGUAAAGCCCUUUUGUUGGGAAAGAAAAGCAGCAGGUUAAUACCCCGCUGUUCUGACGGUACCCAAAGAAUAAGCACCGACUAACUUCGUG
RNAcentral lists this ribosomal RNA (492 nucleotides) under uncultured bacterium. Its description in RNAcentral is "partial 16S ribosomal RNA". It matches the Rfam family "Bacterial small subunit ribosomal RNA", at positions 29 to 507 of the family's 1533-position model. The record is from RNAcentral.